UACGUAGGGGGCAAGCGUUAUCCGGAUUUACUGGGUGUAAAGGGAGAGUAGGUGGCAGAGCAAGUCCGAAGUGAAAACCCAAAGCUCAACUAUGGGAAUGCUUUAGAAACUGCUCAGCUAGAGUGCAGGAGAGGCAAGUGGAAUUCUUAGUGUAGCGGUGGAAUGCGUAGAUAUUAGGAGGAACACCAGUGGCGAAGGCGAUUUGCUGGGCCAUUACUGACGCUCAUGCACGAAAGCGUGGGGAGCAAAUAGG
Molecule: ribosomal RNA, 253 nt
Filed under: uncultured Lachnospiraceae bacterium
Lineage: Bacteria; Bacillati; Bacillota; Clostridia; Lachnospirales; Lachnospiraceae
Description: partial 16S ribosomal RNA
Rfam family: Bacterial small subunit ribosomal RNA
Source: RNAcentral